Long non-coding RNA from Harpegnathos saltator (Jerdon's jumping ant), 954 nucleotides. RefSeq lists it as uncharacterized. The record is from RefSeq and is a predicted model, not a curated record. The transcript has 4 exons. Lineage: Eukaryota; Metazoa; Arthropoda; Insecta; Hymenoptera; Formicidae.
UGGUAAAUAAUGAAACAAGUCAAGCGUUCGGUCGAGCGAGUCACGCUCUGAUGUAAACAGUCUUGGUCGCGCGCUCAGGGGUCACGUAGCACGACGCAAGAGAAACAGUUGCAAAUAGUGUUUCUACGGAUACGGAUGCUGUACCGGAGGAUCCGGUUCGGGUUGGACAAAGGCGGCUCGAAGCAGCAGCAGUUUUCUCGAUGGCGUUCCUGUGAAUGCGAGUGCUGUACCGGAGGAUCCGGUUCGGGCCAAACAAGGCUGGCACGAAGAACGACGUAGCAGAACGUGGCCAGCCUUAAAUCGGUGCGAAAUGUACGACGAUGGAACAAUAGGCGUCGCGCGACGAUAACAAACAUCGGGCAAGAAGCGCGAGUUUGAUCCCAUCCGUCAGCCGUCGCGUUCUCAUUGAGCGCCGAGUGAUGACAACAAUCAAAACAUUCCGGAGCUCCGCGAAGGUCGGACGUACCUCGUGUGCCGCGUAUUUUUCCGAGUGCCUUUACCAUUACAUUCCGAGUCGGCGAGCGACACGCACAGGCCGGAACACGUGCGAGUCGGCGUGUUAUUUAACAUUCCCGUCGCUUAAUUAAAAUAUCCCGUCUUUUGAAGCGUUUAAUCGGCUUCUCGUCGAUAUCCCGCUAAUUAACAUUUUCCCGAUCGAAUCGUGCCUGAGCGAGUGUCAGUGUCAGUGCUCAGUGUUAGUGCCAGUGCCACAAUGGAGCAGCCACGAUGUCGGAGAAGCCAGGAUGGAGGACGCGAAAAAGCGGGGCACGAGCAGCGAUGCAUCAUAUAUUCCCAAGGUGUGCCAAAUCAUUUAUUGUACAGGACGUUUCCGUUUUUAACGGACGUCCGGCGGAUUCACCGAGAAUUGAGAGAUACCCGAGUCGAAAUUUAAGCCGGCUUUCAUGGUCUGUCAUCAUCCGACAUUAUUAUAGCCUCCUAAAUUUUCGAUUAUUC